CCCUGAAAAUCCACGAAACUUCUGCCGAUAUAGCAGUUACUUAUUUUUCUCCUUCCCGUUCCACUCACAGUUGACAAACUCAAAGAGCUUCUCAGGCGAAGCAAUGGCGGUGCCUCUCUUCAACCUCGCCCCCAAUCUUACCGACUGAGUCUGAUUCUUUGGCCCUCCCUCUCAUCCUCAAAUAUAAAUUCAUUCUUCGCUAGGACGAAGACUUUCGGCAAGAAAAACACGUUUCCGACCUCGAGCAAGCUUUCCAGGCCGGCAUCUCUGUAGAAAUGUAUCCAGUGGUUCAGCGAGCCCAGACUCAGGGGAGGAGCGAGGAGCGUCGUUUUGGCCACCAAGGUUACGGGACCGUCUGGGCAGAUGACUUGGAUACGAGAUGGCCCCAAGUGUUUGAAUGCUAAGAAUAUCACCGAGGCCAUUGACGGCAGCUUAAGGUGAUUGCAGACAGAUUACAAUGGCCUGAUCGGUUUCUAUGUUCCCAUGUUUGGAGAAAUUGAGUAUGAUCCAACCCGAAAGUUCAGUUCGAUUCCCAUAGACGAACAACUUGAUGCUCUAGGAAUAGCUGUUGAUUCUGGUAAGAUUAGAUAUGUUGGUCUCAGUAACGAAACACCAUAUGGGGUGAUGAAGUUUGUUCAGGUAGCUGCUCGCCAUCCAAAGAUUGUCUCUGUGUAGGUUGUCUAUUUGAUCAUUGCACUCUCAGUCAAAUGCUUACUGCAUUGUUGCUGCUGAUUUUUGGACUAAUGCAACUUAUUGUCGAUUUGAUAGAACUCAUACAGCUUGCUCUGUCGAACUUUUGAUUCUGGGUUGGCUGAAUGCUGUCAUCAUGAGACGUAUUCAAAGUGUUGGUUUUCAGAAAAAGUGAAUAGCUGAACAAUUAAUUAUUUCAUCCGGUAUGAAAUGAUUGGGAAAGCUUGCUUGAUUUGUGCAUGCCAAUUUCUUGAUGAAGUUGAAGUUAUGUUACUUUUCCUAUCCUGUCCUGACUCCUGAGCAGUUCUUGAAGAAAUUCAAUUGAAUAUUCUUGCUAAUUAGUAGCUUGAAUAAUAUAACAUUAGUAAGUGGAAUUAAAAUUCCAACAGAGAACAUGAGAGUCACUUUGGGGAAGGGCUUCUUAUCUAAACGUGCAUUUUGGGUUUUCAAUUUUUAUGGCUUUCAAACCUAGGUAAGCCAUUGAAUAAAACUUAUUCAUGUGAGUUUAUUGAGUGGUAAAAUGAUCGAUUUAAUUAUAUUAUUUAUAAAUGAGUUCUGCCACUUCAUGUAAUACUACUAAUGAUUUUCUGUUGGGCUAUUGAAUGUUUUAGCAUCAGUUUAUUAGCCUACAGCCCCCUGGCAAUGGGUUUACUCUCUGGGAUGUAUUUUUUGCCUGAUUGGGGGUCUGAUACAACCUGUCCGAUCACAUCAUAAGAGCAGCAGCCAUGGAAUACAUUGAUAUUGCAGGGAAGUACAAUGUUCAUCCAGUAUCUCUUGCAAUAGGUUUGACACCUCUCUCUCCAUUUCUUUAUAGUUUCUUCGUGUUCUUGUCCACGUUAGGACUGUGGUUUGGAGACUUAAUGCUGGAAAAUGAAAAGUCACCCGUUUGCUUGUUCCUCUUCCCCUUCUCAAAAUGUACAUUUAUUUUUCUUAAUAAUGUUAGAUUUAUAAGUCUUGAGUGCUAACUAAGCAAAAUUACAUGAAUAAAAUUGCUAAAAUUAAAAUGACGGGACCCGAAACAGAAAAUGUACCAAACCAGAAAACCCAAAAUGUAAUUUGGGAUACAUUUUAUGCCAAAAGUUCCACUCUAACCAAUUUAGCUAAAAACAAAAAAGAGACAACAAGAAGAAUCGAAUUGUUCCAAGGCAUAUUCAGCUGGUUGUGCGUAACGACGAGGAGUUGAGCAAGCUUUUGGGGACUGUUACUAUGGCUAAUGGCGGUGUUUUGCCAAACAUUCAUUAGACUCUGUUGCCGAAGAAGAUUGGUAAAGGGAAAGGAGA
Molecule: non-coding RNA, 1970 nt
Organism: Prunus avium (sweet cherry)
Lineage: Eukaryota; Viridiplantae; Streptophyta; Magnoliopsida; Rosales; Rosaceae
Source: RefSeq, a predicted model, not a curated record